This 304-nucleotide ribosomal RNA is filed under the name uncultured bacterium. Its description in RNAcentral is "bacterial SSU rRNA". It matches the Rfam family "Bacterial small subunit ribosomal RNA", at positions 772 to 1072 of the family's 1533-position model. The record is from RNAcentral.
ACCGAAUAGAUACCCAGGUAGUCCACGCCCUAAACUAUGCGAACUGGAUGUUGGGUACAUUACGGUACUCAGUGUCGAAAGCUAAACGCGUUAAGUUCGCCGCCUGGGGAGUACGGUCGCAAGACUGAAACUCAAAGGAAUUGACGGGGGCCCGCACAGGCGGUGGAGUAUGUGGUUUAAUUCGAUGCAACGCGAAGAACCUUACCUGGCCUUGACAUCUGUCGAAUCCUGCAGAGAUGCGGGAGUGCCGCAAGGAACGACAAGACGAGGUGCUGCAUGGCUGUCGUCAGCUCGUGUCGUGAGA